GCCGGAGUGGCACAGUUGGUAGCGCAACUCAUUCGUAAUGAGUAGGUCACCGGUUCAAAUCCGGUCUUCGGCU
This 73-nucleotide transfer RNA is filed under the name Fibrobacterota bacterium. Its description in RNAcentral is "Fibrobacteres bacterium (bioreactor metagenome) tRNA-Thr". It matches the Rfam family "tRNA". Rfam says of the family: Transfer RNA (tRNA) molecules are approximately 80 nucleotides in length. Their secondary structure includes four short double-helical elements and three loops (D, anti-codon, and T loops). Lineage: Bacteria; Pseudomonadati; Fibrobacterota. The record is from RNAcentral.